GACGAACGCUGGCGGCGUGCUUAACACAUGCAAGUCGAACGAAGUGGCGAACGGGUUAGUAAUACGUGGGUAACCUGCUCGCCUUUUUGGGCUAAGCCUAGGAGACGGGGACUAAUACUAAAUAAAUGGGGAUGGGGUCGGUGCCUAUCAGCUUGGUGGUGGGGUUAUGGCCUACGAAGGCGGUGACGGGUAGCCGGCCUGAGAGGGUGCCCUGCCACAUUGGGACUGUGAUACGGCCCAUGCUACUACGGGGGGCAGCAGUGGGGGCUAUUGCACAAUGGGCGAAGGCCUCAUGCCGCGACGCCGCGUGGGGUCUGAAGGCUUUCGGGUUGUAAACCUCUUUCGCUAUCGAACGGGUAGGUGGAGAAGAAGCGCCGGCUAACUACGUGCCAGCCGCCGCGGUAAUUC
Molecule: ribosomal RNA, 408 nt
Filed under: uncultured bacterium
Lineage: Bacteria
Description: partial 16S ribosomal RNA
Rfam family: Bacterial small subunit ribosomal RNA
Source: RNAcentral